GGUGGUGCCGCUGGGUGUAAUUUCAGAAGAUUCCAGAAGGUGGUGCUGGAAGCUAAGAAAUGCCUGCCCGCCGCUGGCGCCUGUGCUCGGUCUGGGCUGAUUCUUGGUUUGGGGACAGCAGAGGACACAGCUCUUGGAACAGGGACCCAAUCCCAGAACUGAAGAAGUCCUGCCACAGCCCAUAGACAUCUGUGUACAUGUGGCGCCUGUUUGGCCUGAAUGGGAAGCCAUGGACCCCUCUUCGUAGGUUUCGUAACCAGCUGCUAGAGAGAACCCAGGAGUGCCAGAGCCAUUGCGUCGCGCUCUCCGGGGUCCCUCGCGCCCGCAGCGGCGGCUCCCCACCCUGCAUUGCAGGUCACCCGCAGUCCCAGCAGGCGCGCACCCACGGGCACCAGCUCUGCUAACGCUGAGCUGGGAACAGCAGCACAGAAAUCCCCGCGGGCUCCGCGCUGGGAACCCAGUGAUGCUGAGACCGGAACGCCUGGGGUGGCGGACGCGGACCAGGCAGGGCCAGGGGUUGCUGGUGAGAGCCGCGCUGUCCAACCCCAGCCCUGCGGCCUUCCCCUGCUCAGUCCUCCCCCUGCAGACCUGGCUGGGGCUCGGAGCCCACACCGACCCCCUGGAGGUGGGGAAGCGCCCGGCUCCAAUGCUCUCAGGACGCUGCCAUCACUGGCUGUCCUGGGGCACGCUGUCCACUCUGUCGAAAGCCAGCACCCCAGCCAGGAGGCCCAUGCCCGUCUCUGGAGCUCCAGCAUCCGUCGAAGCAGGCCAACGGCCCCUUGGGGCUGGAAGGGCGCCCAGGGCUCAUGGUGGGUCCUGGGCCUUUAGAGCCGGCGGGCGGCACACGUGCUCCAAGCAAAGAGGACAGAAGGCCCAGACCCACUAGGGGUGCAGUCGUGGGCUCCAGCACCUGCAGAUAUGUGCCCCAGGCCCACUCGGGGACCAGAGUACUCGGGGCCCUGCCGGAGAAGAUCCCGGCUCACUGGGUGCAGCAGACGGGUUCCCUCACCCCAUCCACACACGGCUGAGCCAUCAGCAGUGCUGAGCACCUGCCCUCAGCAUAGCCCAGAGCCAGAACCCCCGGCUCCCAGUGUGCCCCCCCCCACCAUCCUGCCAGGGCCACCAAAAUGCCUAGGAAGCAGCAGACUCGUCCACUCAGUUCCGGGUCCCAGACAUCUGAGGUCAGAGUGCCCAGGGCCAUGCUCCCUCGGGAGGCCCAGGCCACACCUGUCCUGCAGCUUCAGGCUCUGGUGCUGGGGGCCUUUGUGGCCUUGUGACCUCGUGGCCUCGUGACUCUGUGAUUCCACUCCAUGCCUCUGUCCUCAUGCGUGUGGUCUCCCGAGUAUCUGCGUCCGGUCCUCCCACUAAAUAGGGGCACCAGUCACUGGCAGGGGGGCCCAGGACUGACCCAUUGUAGCAAAUUCCAUCUGCAAAGUUCCUCUUCCAACUGUCCCGAGGUUCUGGGAGACAUGAAUGUGUGGGGACACCCCAUGGCCCCAUACAGUGGGGUUAGGAGAAGGAUCCCUUAACAGAACUGCUUAGAUAACUGCUGUCAGCUGGGCGGCUCCUUCCCGCCUGUACCUGAAGGGACGGAGAUGCCUCCAGCCCAGCCGGAGGAUGGCCUCCGCGUCGCAACGGGACCUCGCUUACCGUGCUCCAGUUGUGUCCGUCCCCCUCCCUGGAGCUCAGCCGGGCCACCUGCCCCCAGGGUUCAGGCCUUUGAGGAAAGUAAAACGUUUACACGUUUACGUGGA
Mustela erminea (ermine) is the source of this 1754-nucleotide long non-coding RNA. RefSeq lists it as uncharacterized. The record is from RefSeq and is a predicted model, not a curated record. The transcript is spliced from 2 exons. NCBI's taxonomy places the organism in Eukaryota, Metazoa, Chordata, Mammalia, Carnivora, Mustelidae.